GAUGAACGCUGGCGGCGUGCCUAACACAUGCAAGUCGAGCGGACAGACGGCGAUCGUGCUUGGCUUACGUGGCGGACGGGUGAGUAAUGCAUACGUAUCUACCCUGUCUAUAGGGCUGACAUCCCGUCACGGGAGCUAAUAUCGUACACGUUCAUAUGGUGAACCGGGGGGUUCUAUAGAGCUCGCGCGUUUUGCUGUGCCUUGGAGGUGUUUCCGGGGCGGAUUGGCUAGUUGGUAAGGUAACGGCUUACCGAGGCGACGAUGCGUGGCCGAUCUGAGAGGGUGAUCAGGCACACUGGAACUGAGACACGGUCCAGACUCCUACGGGAGGCAGCAGUGGGGAAUAUUGGGCAAUGGGCGAAAGCCUGACCGAGCAAUGCCGCGUGUGUGAAGAAGGUCUUCGGAUCGUAAAACGCUUUUAGUUGGGAAGAACGACUGUGUAAGUAACCAUGCCUGUUUUGACGGUACCUAAUCAAAAAGCACCGGCUAACUACGUG
RNAcentral lists this ribosomal RNA (497 nucleotides) under uncultured bacterium. RNAcentral's name for it is "partial 16S ribosomal RNA". It matches the Rfam family "Bacterial small subunit ribosomal RNA", at positions 28 to 507 of the family's 1533-position model. The record is from RNAcentral.